CUUGACACACCUUCAAGCCAUACAUAGAAGCCAGGAUAGAUGAAGGAAAGAUAAAGACCACCAAAAUAGGGGCUUUGGGGCCAUCGCUGAAGACAAACUUUAUUCACUGUAUAAUCUUGCUUCAGGUGGACUGGGUUCUCUCUUCCCUUUCACAAAGGAAGUGACUCAAGAUACCUGAUAUACUCUCAACCCUCAGAAAAUGAACCUCUUUCCAUUCACUUGAUCCCACCAGUCACAAAGCACAGACUCUGUCAUGCACCAGAGGGGCAACAUGAAUAAGAAGUGUUUACACUCUGAAGGAGCCGACCCAACCAAAGUGAGAGAUUCAGACAUGGAACAGAACCCCAAGUCAUCAUGUAAAGAAGUCCAGGCUACCCUGAUAGAGAAGCCAAGAAGAGAGAAUGAAGAUGCCCCAGCCAAAAACUAGCACCAACAGGUUAAAAGGAACCCUCCACUGUCUUAAAGGUUGAAUGCAGCUACCUGAGUGAGUCUAGGCAAGACCAUCAGACCUGCUGGCCAAUCCACAGGAUCACAAGGAAUAAUAAAUAGUUAUUGUUUCAGAUGUCCACAUGUGUCAUUGUGUGAGGUUGUUGGAGUAAACAUGUCGCAGCUGGGUACAUUCAUGAUGACCAGUUCAACAUGGGGCAAGGCUCGGUGUCUGCUGCUGGAGGCAUCCUCUGCUUUCAUAGCAUAAUCUUCAUGCAAUCACCAGUGAAGAGGGAC
Molecule: long non-coding RNA, 723 nt
Organism: Prionailurus viverrinus (fishing cat)
Lineage: Eukaryota; Metazoa; Chordata; Mammalia; Carnivora; Felidae
Exons: 3
Source: RefSeq, a predicted model, not a curated record